CUCAUUGGGCAGGGGUGCCUGACACCUGAGUUUGCUCCCCAAGACCCACAUGGUGGAAGAAGAUCAAUAUCUGCAAGUUGUCCUCUGACCUCCUGGAGCCUGCCGUGGAUGUCCCCCUAUAUCCAGGAUAGGUUGUGGAGGAAUUGACUGCUGUUCAGAAAAUUUGGUUUCAAUGUGAGAAUUCAAUUCAAUUCAAAUGUGAGAAUAAGAAAAAAGAAAAAACCCUCAAAUUUUAUAAACUCAGGUUACCGCAGGUGGCGAUGAUCCUUUGGCUUUACAUCCAUCACAUGCUUCUGUGCAUCUUCCUUUCUUUCUGAACAUGUUCAUGAAAAUCUAUUCAGUUCACAGAGAACCAACAAGAAGCAAGUCAAACCACACGGGUUAAAGCGGUCCUUCACAGCGACAGCACUGCUGCACUCAGGGUGCUGGCUGUGAGGCGUCAAAUCCCAGAGAAGAUCCUCAGUCUGGCCUUGCUGGGUACAUGCAGCCCCACAAGGGAAUCCUCAGAGGAAGCAGUAGUGGCUUUUCAACAUUUGUUUGUUUUCUUGCCUUUGAAGAGCCUACAUGAGUGUUCGGCCCUUCCUGGCCUGAGUUCGGAAUAUGAACUGUUGGUUUUCCGAGCCUUUCUGUCCUUUUCCAAACCACCAGUUUUAUGGGUUUGGCUUCAUGAAGAUGUCCUUUGUAACCAAUAACUCUUUGCACAACAUUAAAAACGUGUGCAUAAGAUGACUGCACUGUACCUUAAAGAAGUGAGAAGACUUUGUAAGAAAGAGUGGCUUUGAGAGUGGAGAUACUCAUUGCCGAGCAUACAAUAUACUCUGCUCAUAAUUGCCUCCACUCCUCUUCAUGAGUCCUCCUAGAUCCACCCCAUCCCUGUCCCUAUUCAAACAUUGUGUCCUCCUAUUUCCUGUUUGUGUACCUCACCCAGUCCAGUCUCCGCUGCCCAUACCCUCACAAGUCUGGGCUUCCCACUGGGGUAAGGUCAACCUACCAGAGAUCUCACCAUUAAAGAAGACUCCUUCCCC
RNAcentral lists this long non-coding RNA (1025 nucleotides) under Mus pahari (shrew mouse). RNAcentral describes it as "lncRNA (MGP_PahariEiJ_G0004558.1)". Lineage: Eukaryota; Metazoa; Chordata; Mammalia; Rodentia; Muridae. The record is from RNAcentral.